Molecule: ribosomal RNA, 1236 nt
Filed under: metagenome
Description: bacterial LSU rRNA
Rfam family: Bacterial large subunit ribosomal RNA
Source: RNAcentral
UGAAUACGAGACGCUAAGGCGUCGAAGUAGUGUAUGUCAUACUUCCAAGAAAAGCUUGCACUGUCAUAAGUAAAAAAUGCCUGUACCAUAACCGACACAGGUGGGUAGGUAGAGUAUACUAAGGGGCGCGAGAUAACUCUCUCUAAGGAACUCGGCAAAAUAACUCCGUAACUUCGGGAGAAGGAGUACCUUAUUCUAUAAGGUUGCAAUAACAAGAUCCAAGCAACUGUUUAUCAAAAACACAGGUCUCCGCUAAGUCGUAAGACGAUGUAUGGGGGCUGACGCCUGCCCAGUGCCAGAAGGUUAAAGAAGUCGGUUAGCAUUAGCGAAGCUGGUAACUGAAGCCCUGGUGAACGGCGGCCGUAACAAUAACGGUCCUAAGGUAGCGAAAUUCCUUGUCGGGUAAGUUCCGACCCGCACGAAAGGCGUAAUGAUUUGGAUACUGUCUCGGAGAGGGGCUCGGUGAAAUAGACUUGUCUGUGAAGAUGCGGACUACCUGCACCAGGACAGAAAGACCCUAUGAAGCUUUACUGUAACUUGAAAUUGAAAUUGGACUUUAUUCGCGCAGUAUAGGUGGGAGGUGUUGAUUAUAAUCUUGCGGGAUUAUUGGAGCCAUCAGUGAGAUACCACUCUUGUAAUGUUAGAUUUCUAACUUUGAAUCAUUAUCUGGUCAAAGGACAGUUUCAGGCGGGCAGUUUGACUGGGGCGGUCGCCUCCCAAACGGUAACGGAGGCGUACAAAGGUUUCCUCUGAACGGGUAGAAAUCGUAUCUAGAGUGUAAAGGCAUAAGGAAGCUUGACUGUGAGACCUACAAGUCGAACAGGGACGAAAGUCGGUCUUAGUGAUCUGACGGUACUGAGUGGAAAGGCCGUCACUCAACGGAUAAAAGUUACUCUAAGGAUAACAGGCUGAUCUCCCCCAAGAGUUCACAUCGACGGGGAGGUUUGGCACCUCGAUGUCGGCUCAUCGCAUCCUGGGGCGGUAGUACGUCCCAAGGGUUGGGCUGUUCGCCCAUGAAAGCGGUACGCGUGCUGGGUUCAGAACGUCGUGAGACAGCUCGGUCCAUAUCCGGUGUAGGCGUUAGAAUAUUGAGAGGAGCCUUCUUUAGUACGAGAGGACCGAGAAGGACAUACCUCUGGUGUACCAGUUAUCGUGCCAACGGUAAACGCUGGGUAGCUAUGUAUGGAGUGGAUAACCGCUGAAAGCAUCUAAGUGGGAAGCCCACCUCAAGAUAAG